GUCUUUUUGAUUUUAAUUUAAAGUCUAACCUGCCCAAUGAAAAAAAAUUUAAAUGGCCGCAGUAUUUUGACUGUGCAAAGGUAGCAUAAUAAUUAGUUUUUUAAUUGAAAGCUGGAAUGAAGGGUUGGACGAGAGAAUAACUGUCUCUUUAUAAAUUAGUUAUAAUUUUAUUUUUAAGUUAAAAAGCUUAAAUUUAUUUAAAAGACGAGAAGACCCUAUAGAGUUUUAUUUAUUUUGUAUAAAAAAUAAGUUUAGAAUUAUUAUUGUUUUUAUAUAAAUUAAAUUUAGUUGGGGUGAUUGAAAAAUUUAAUGAACUUUUUUUUUAUUUAAACAUUAAUAUAUGAAUAAUUGAUCCAUAAUUUAUGAUUAAAAGAUUAAAUUACCUUAGGGAUAACAGCGUAAUUUCUUUGUAGAGUUCUAAUCGAUUAAGAAGUUUGCGACCUCGAUGUUGGAUUAAAAAAUAGUUUUGGUGUAGAAGCUAAAAUAUUUAGGUCUGUUCGACCUUUAAAAUUUUACAUGAUCUGAGUUUAGACCGGCGUAAGCCAGGUUGGUUUCUAUCUUUAAUAAUUUUUAAUAUUUUAGUACGAAAGGACCAAAUAUUAUGAAUAAUUUAUUUAAAAUUGAUUAUUAUUAAU
RNAcentral lists this ribosomal RNA (635 nucleotides) under Zyras sp. 2 HE-2012. RNAcentral's name for it is "partial 16S ribosomal RNA". The stretch from base 390 to 549 matches the Rfam family "Bacterial large subunit ribosomal RNA", at positions 2473 to 2632 of the family's 2925-position model. Lineage: Eukaryota; Metazoa; Arthropoda; Insecta; Coleoptera; Staphylinidae. The record is from RNAcentral.